UGUCAGUGUUAAAAGAUGCACUCAUCCCCAACUUUUGUGCACCAUAAAAAAAACGCUAUUGUAAGUAAAACAUGACUAUCAUAUUCAGUCAUUUAAAUGACAUGGAAUGGGUUUGUAAAUGCUUAUAAUAAUAUUUUCCUCCCAAUAGGCUCAUAUGCAAAUCUAAAACAUUACAGGCUAAUGAUGUAUAAGACACAUGCUUCACUUCAGUUGAUUGACAGUUGACUAUGUGGCAGUGGACAGGUUACAUCUUGUUUCCACUACUUGUCAAUGCAUAAACCUGGGAACACCUGGGAACUUCCAUCCUGAAGGGCUGAAAGACAUAUCUUCUACCUGGUAGGUAUUCAUCCUCACCAGGUGUCUCAGGUCUGAAUUAGAAGGACAGGGUGAAGACCAGAAGGGUUUGUCCCUCCAGGUUGGGACAUCCCAACUAUCGGCCAAUGCUGACAAAGCCUUUUAUGAUUCCACUCACUGAGUGGAUAACAGGGGCUCCCCCUUAAAACUUUCAAUGCCUAUUAGUUUGAUAGUCUGUAAUUUUUCAGCAUUGUCCAAUGGCCCUAGGUUUUUACCAGCUCUUGUGUGUGUUUUCCUGGUGUCUUUGAUUAAUGGGUCAUUUAAUGGGUCAUUUGACGGCUUGUCAUUUGACGGCGUGUGUGAGUUUGUUAAUCAUAUCCACAGGCUAAACAUUAUUCUGUCAUACAUCUGGAUUUCUCCAUUAUUGUAGAAAUAUGGCGUGAACCUAUCAUAUGUGUGUACUGCAAACACUAUUCAAUUGUAAGCUGACGUGUGUAGACAAAAUCAGGCCAGCCCUGAUGAUUAUUGUUUCUUGCCAGCUUUGCUGUUCUAAGAAGAUGAGAGAAAUUAGUCUUUUAAGAACCAAUGGUUUUGCGAAGCAUGUCGAUCUGGUUGGUGCACAUUCGGUAAGGGGUUAUGGUAAGGGUUAUGGUAAGGGUUAUGGUAAGGGGUUAUGGUAAGGGGGUUAUGGUAAGGGUUAUGGUAAGGGUUAUGGUAAGGGGUUAUGGUAAGGGGUUAUGGUAAGGGUUAUGGUAAGGGGUUAUGGUAAGGGGUUAUGGUUAGCCUAAGUUAACUAAUGUUAUUAUCUAAUGUUAUUAUUAUAUCAGUGUUCAGUCAGACUACCUUUUAAAGGUAACGCAUAACGUAACGCGUUAGUUUUAAAUAAUCCCUUACUAGUUACUUUUUAAAUAAAGUUACUUAAUUAACCGCAGUGCAACCAACUUAGCUUCAUGUACAGUAGUGUUAUUAUCUCCAGUAGCAAGUGGCAACAAAGGACACAAAUAUAGCAGCAGGAGUUCUCCCAGAUGAAGGGCAUGAUAGACCAAACCACCGCCCAGCUCCCGUUCAUUUCAAAUCAAUACGUAGUGUCCACAAGCGACUUCUGCAGUGAAAGGCUUGGCUGCACAAUUCAAGGUUGGGAAGCACUUUAUUAUUUUGACUACGUCAUUAUAACCCUCAUCUAUAACAAAUCAGUGCGGUUAUUGUGUUUUGCUGCAAUCUCUUGCCUGUCGGACAACCAAAGUUAGAUCCCAAAUCAUCCUCUGUCGGACAACCAAAGUUCGAUCCCAAAUCAUCCUCUGUUGGACAACCAAAGUUCGAUCCCAAAUCAUCCUCGGUCAGACAACCAAAGUUCGAUCCCAAAUCAUCCUCUGUCGGACAACCAAAGUUCGAUCCCAAAUCAUCCUGUCGGACAACCAAAGUUCGAUCCCAAAUUAUCCUCAGUCAGACAACCAAAGUUCGAUCCCAAAUCAUCCUCUGUCGGACAACCGAAGUUCGAU
Molecule: long non-coding RNA, 1793 nt
Organism: Esox lucius (northern pike)
Lineage: Eukaryota; Metazoa; Chordata; Actinopteri; Esociformes; Esocidae
Source: Ensembl